This 253-nucleotide ribosomal RNA is filed under the name uncultured bacterium. Its description in RNAcentral is "partial 16S ribosomal RNA". It matches the Rfam family "Bacterial small subunit ribosomal RNA", at positions 524 to 776 of the family's 1533-position model. The record is from RNAcentral.
GACGAACCGUGCGAACGUUGUUCGGAAUCACUGGGCUUAAAGGGCGCGUAGGCGGGCGGGCAAGUCUGCGGUGAAAGCCUCCAGCUCAACUGGAGAAGUGCCGUGGAUACUGCUCAUCUUGAGGAGGGUAGGGGCGUCUGGAACGUUGGGUGGAGCGGUGAAAUGCGUUGAUAUCCAACGGAACUCCGGUGGCGAAGGCGAGGCGCUGGACCCUUUCUGACGCUGAUGCGCGAAAGCCAGAGGAGCGAACGGG